CCUACGGGUGGCUGCAGUGGGGAAUAUUGCACAAUGGGCGCAAGCCUGAUGCAGCCAUGCCGCGUGUGUGAAGAAGGCCUUCGGGUUGUAAAGCACUUUCAGCGGGGAGGAAGGCGUUAAGGUUAAUAACCUUGGCGAUUGACGUUACCCGCAGAAGAAGCACCGGCUAACUCCGUGCCAGCAGCCGCGGUAAUACGGAGGGUGCAAGCGUUAAUCGGAAUUACUGGGCGUAAAGCGCACGCAGGCGGUCUGUCAAGUCGGAUGUGAAAUCCCCGGGCUCAACCUGGGAACUGCAUUCGAAACUGGCAGGCUAGAGUCUUGUAGAAGGGGGUAGAAUUCCAGGUGUAGCGGUGAAAUGCGUAGAGAUCUGGAGGAAUACCGGUGGCGAAGGCGGCCCCCUGGACAAAGACUGACGCUCAGGUGCGAAAGCGUGGGGAGCAAACAGGAUUAGAUACCCGAGUAGUC
RNAcentral lists this ribosomal RNA (465 nucleotides) under uncultured Klebsiella sp. Its description in RNAcentral is "bacterial SSU rRNA". It matches the Rfam family "Bacterial small subunit ribosomal RNA", at positions 338 to 795 of the family's 1533-position model. The record is from RNAcentral. Lineage: Bacteria; Pseudomonadati; Pseudomonadota; Gammaproteobacteria; Enterobacterales; Enterobacteriaceae.